UACAGGGGGUGCGAGCGUUGCUCGGAAUCACUGGGCGUAAAGCGUACGCAGGCCGCUUUGCAAGUCGGGUGUGAAAGCCCGGGGCUCAACCCCGGAAUUGCGCCCGAAACUGCAGGGCUUGAAUGCGGGAGAGGGAAGCGGAAUUCCAGGUGUAGCGGUGAAAUGCGUAGAUAUCUGGAGGAACACCGGUGGCGAAGGCGGCAUCCUGGACCAACACUGACACUGAGGAGCGAAAGCCAGGGGAGCAAACGGG
This 253-nucleotide ribosomal RNA is filed under the name uncultured bacterium. Its description in RNAcentral is "partial 16S ribosomal RNA". It matches the Rfam family "Bacterial small subunit ribosomal RNA", at positions 524 to 776 of the family's 1533-position model. The record is from RNAcentral.